GGUUUGGUCCUGACCUUAAAGUCAAUUAUUUCUUAAUAUACACAUGCAAGUAUCAGCCCUCCUGUGAAAACGCCCUUAAUUUUCCCCAUUAGGGAUAAGGAGCUGGUAUCAGGCACAAAAUAUGCCCAAAACACCUAGCUAUGCCACACCCACAAGGGAACUCAGCAGUGAUUAACAUUAAAUAUAAGCGCCAGCUUGAUUUAGUUAAAGAAAAUAGAGCCGGCAAAUCUGGUGCCAGCCGCCGCGGUUACACCACGUGACUCAAAUUGAUUUACAUCGGCGUAAAGCGUGAUUUAAGAGUAUUAAAAUUGAAAUUAAAUUUUAAUUAAGCUGUAACACGCUUGUUUUUAAGAAAACCAAACACGAAAGUUAUUUCAAUUAUCUCCACUUGAAUUCACGACAAUUAGGGUACAAACUGGGAUUAGAUACCCCACUAUGCCUAAUCGUAAACUUUAAUUUACACCAACAUCGCCAGGGAACUACGAGCAAAGCUUAAAACCCAAAGGACUUGACGGUACCCCAAAUCCACCUAGAGGAGCCUGUCCUAUAAUCGAUAACCCCCGUUAAACCUCACCACUUCUAGUUUAUCAGCCUGUAUACCUCCGUCGUCAGCUUACCUCGUGAGCGGAUAUUAGUGAGCCUAAUGCUUAUACACCAACACGUCAGGUCAAGGUGCAGUAUAUGAAGUGGGAAGAGAUGGGCUACACUUUCUAAUUUAGAACAUACGAAAAAUUAUUUAUGAAAACUAAUUUGAAGGCGGAUUUAGAAGUAAAAAGAAAUUAGUGUAUUCUUUUUAACCCGGCACUGGGGUGUGUACACACCGCCCGUCACCCUCUUCAAGGCCCAUUUAUAGUAUUUAACUAAAUUUGCUAUUCAGAAGAGGCAAGUCGUAACAUGGUAAGUGUACCGGAGGUGUGCUUGGGAA
This 925-nucleotide non-coding RNA is filed under the name Engystomops petersi (Peters' dwarf frog). Its description in RNAcentral is "partial 12S ribosomal RNA". It matches the Rfam family "Bacterial small subunit ribosomal RNA". Lineage: Eukaryota; Metazoa; Chordata; Amphibia; Anura; Leptodactylidae. The record is from RNAcentral.